RNAcentral lists this ribosomal RNA (726 nucleotides) under Bacillus sp. (in: firmicutes). RNAcentral describes it as "bacterial SSU rRNA". It matches the Rfam family "Bacterial small subunit ribosomal RNA", at positions 57 to 765 of the family's 1533-position model. Lineage: Bacteria; Bacillati; Bacillota; Bacilli; Caryophanales; Bacillaceae. The record is from RNAcentral.
GCAGUCGAGCGAACUGAUUAAGAGCUUGCUCUUAUGAAGUUAGCGGCGGACGGGUGAGUAACACGUGGGUAACCUGCCCAUAAGACUGGGAUAACUCCGGGAAACCGGGGCUAAUACCGGAUAAUAUUUUGCGCCUCAUGGCGCAAAAUUGAAAGGCGGCUUCGGCUGUCACUUAUGGAUGGACCCGCGUCGCAUUAGCUAGUUGGUGAGGUAACGGCUCACCAAGGCAACGAUGCGUAGCCGACCUGAGAGGGUGAUCGGCCACACUGGGACUGAGACACGGCCCAGACUCCUACGGGAGGCAGCAGUAGGGAAUCUUCCGCAAUGGACGAAAGUCUGACGGAGCAACGCCGCGUGAGUGAUGAAGGCUUUCGGGUCGUAAAACUCUGUUGUUAGGGAAGAACAAGUGCUAGUUGAAUAAGCUGGCACCUUGACGGUACCUAACCAGAAAGCCACGGCUAACUACGUGCCAGCAGCCGCGGUAAUACGUAGGUGGCAAGCGUUAUCCGGAAUUAUUGGGCGUAAAGCGCGCGCAGGUGGUUUCUUAAGUCUGAUGUGAAAGCCCACGGCUCAACCGUGGAGGGUCAUUGGAAACUGGGAGACUUGAGUGCAGAAGAGGAAAGUGCAAUUCCAUGUGUAGCGGUGAAAUGCGUAGAGAUAUGGAGGAACAGCAGUGGCGAAGCGACUCUUCUGGUCUGUAACUGACACUGAGCGCGAAAGCGUGGG